RNAcentral lists this ribosomal RNA (519 nucleotides) under uncultured eukaryote. RNAcentral describes it as "SSU rRNA". It matches the Rfam family "Eukaryotic small subunit ribosomal RNA", at positions 1161 to 1698 of the family's 1831-position model. The record is from RNAcentral.
AGGGCACCACCAGGAGUGGAGCCUGCGGCUUAAUUUGACUCAACGCGGGAAAACUCACCCGGCCCGGACACUGGAAGGAUUGACAGAUUGAGAGCUCUUUCUUGAUUCAGUGGGUGGUGGUGCAUGGCCGUUCUUAGUUGGUGGAGUGAUUUGUCUGGUUAAUUCCGAUAACGAACGAGACUCUAGCCUAUUAAAUAGAUCGUUGGCUUACAAACGCCGGCGAGACUUCUUAGAGGGACAGGCGGCGAUUCAGCCGCACGAAACAGAGCAAUAACAGGUCUGUGAUGCCCUUAGAUGUCCGGGGCCGCACGCGCGCUACACUGAAGUGAUCAGCGUGCAUUUUGAAACCUACUCUGUCAAGAGUGGGGAACCCAAUGAACCUUCUUCGUGAUUGGGAUAGGGGAUUGUAAUUAUUCCCCUUGAACGAGGAAUUCCCAGUAAGCGCGAAUCAUAAGUUUGCGCUGAUUACGUCCCUGCCCUUUGUACACACCGCCCGUCGCUACUACCGAUUGAAUGUUU